Molecule: long non-coding RNA, 354 nt
Filed under: Pan troglodytes (chimpanzee)
Lineage: Eukaryota; Metazoa; Chordata; Mammalia; Primates; Hominidae
Description: long non-coding RNA NONPTRT000702
Source: RNAcentral
GUCCUUAAAAGAAGAGGGAAAUAUGGACACAGACACAGACACAGAGGAAGAUGAUGUGAAGACACACAGGGAAAACAUCAUGUAAAAACAGGCUUGGAGUGGUGCACCUACAAGGCGAGGAACAUCUGAAGCUGCCAGAAGUUGUGAGAGAGGCAUGGAGUAAUUCCUUUCCUAGAACCUUCAGAGGGAGCAUGGCCCUGCCUAUACUGAUAACGAUGGUUCAACUUACAAUUUUUCAACUAUACAAUGCUUUAAAAGCAAUUCAGUAGAAACUAUACUUCAAGUAACCAUGCAACCAUUCAAUUUUUCACUUUCGCCAACACAGAAUCACAGCAUCUCAGAGUUGGAAGGAAU